AGCUCCAAUAGCGUAUAUUAAAGUUGUUGCGGUUAAAAAGCUCGUAGUUGGAUUUCUGCGCGAAACGAACGGUCUACCUUAUGGGUAAGUAUCUGUCAGGUUCGCGCAUCCUCAUGAAGAACGUCGCUGCGAUUUAUUUCGUGGUACGGAAUUCAUGACUUUUACUUUGAGGAAAUUAGAGUGUUCACGGCAAGCAAACGCUUUGAAUAUGUUAGCAUGGAAUAAUAAUAUAGGACCUUGGUACUAUUUUGUUGGUUUCUAGAACUAAGGUAAUGAUUAAUAGGGACAGUUUGGGGGCAUUCGUAUUAACACGUCAGAGGUGGAAUUCUUGGAUUGUGUUACGACGAACUACUGCGAAAGCAUUUG
This 366-nucleotide ribosomal RNA is filed under the name uncultured eukaryote. Its description in RNAcentral is "SSU rRNA". It matches the Rfam family "Eukaryotic small subunit ribosomal RNA", at positions 587 to 957 of the family's 1831-position model. The record is from RNAcentral.